This 21-nucleotide non-coding RNA is filed under the name Caenorhabditis elegans. Lineage: Eukaryota; Metazoa; Nematoda; Chromadorea; Rhabditida; Rhabditidae. The record is from RNAcentral.
UGAUGACCACGAAUAUUAUCA